UGACGCAGCACUGCCGCGUGAGUGAGGAAGGCUUUCGGAUUGUAAAGCUCUGUCAGGUUGGAAGAACGGCUUAUGGUCUAAUACGCUUUAAGUUUGAUGGUACAUCCCAAGGAAGCACCGGCUAACUUCGUGCCAGCAGCCGCGGUAAUACGAAGGGUGCAAGCGUUGUUCGGAUUUAUUGGGCGUAAAGCGUACGCAUGCGGAUAGGUAAGUCAGAUGUGAAAUCUCGGAGCUCAACUUUGGAACUGCGUCUGAGACUGUUUAUCUAGAGUCUUAGAGGGGGAAGGGGAAUUUCGCAU
RNAcentral lists this ribosomal RNA (299 nucleotides) under uncultured delta proteobacterium. RNAcentral's name for it is "partial 16S ribosomal RNA". It matches the Rfam family "Bacterial small subunit ribosomal RNA", at positions 384 to 674 of the family's 1533-position model. Lineage: Bacteria; Deltaproteobacteria. The record is from RNAcentral.